AACGAACGCUGGCGGCAUGCCUAACACAUGCAAGUCGAACGAGACCUUCGGGUCUAGUGGCGCACGGGUGCGUAACGCGUGGGAACCUGCCCUUAGGUUCGGAAUAACUCCCCGAAAGGGGUGCUAGUACCGGAUAAUGUCUUCGGACCAAAGAUUUAUCGCCUUUGGAUGGGCCCGCGUUGGAUUAGCUAGUUGGUAGGGUAAAAGCCUACCAAGGCGACGAUCCAUAGCUGGUCUGAGAGGAUGAUCAGCCACACUGGGACUGAGACGCGGCCCAGACUCCUACGGGAGGCAGCAGUGGGGAAUAUUGGACAAUGGGCGAAAGCCUGAUCCAGCAAUGCCGCGUGAGUGAUGAAGGCCUUAGGGUUGUAAAGCUCUUUUACCCGGGAUGAUAAUGACAGUACCGGGAGAAUAAGCUCCGGCUAACUCCGUG
RNAcentral lists this ribosomal RNA (433 nucleotides) under uncultured bacterium. RNAcentral's name for it is "partial 16S ribosomal RNA". It matches the Rfam family "Bacterial small subunit ribosomal RNA", at positions 29 to 507 of the family's 1533-position model. The record is from RNAcentral.